RNAcentral lists this small RNA (734 nucleotides) under Pan troglodytes (chimpanzee). RNAcentral's name for it is "transcribed unitary pseudogene". Lineage: Eukaryota; Metazoa; Chordata; Mammalia; Primates; Hominidae. The record is from RNAcentral.
AUGCGAGCUGAGAACAGCUGCGCGCCCGCCUAGCGCUGCGAACGCGGAGUGAGAGGCGCUUCAGAGACUGGAGGGACGGACCUGCAGGAGCCAGGGCUGCCCGCCGAGCUGCAGUUGCCGCUACUGCCGCUGUCAGCGCCCGACUGAAGAGUGACAGCCGCAAAAGCAGGAGUGAGCACCGAACCCCGCGCUUCUACCUAACAGGUGCAUGCACCGAUCUGGUGAGUGGACCCAGCUCGCAAGCUUAUCCAACAAAAGUAUUAACAUAUACAUUAACAACGUCGAAAGUAGCCUACUUUAAGAGAAAAUAUGCAGAAGAAGAAGAUUUACAUCAAGAUUACCAUGGGUAUUUUCCAAAACACCUGAUAUUACCUGAGGACAGAACUUGCAUUCUCAAACUUUCUCUGGAGAAGCUCAGGUUUCUUGAAGACCCAGAAACCUACUUAAGAAGGUCUGUGUUAAUUAACAAUUUGCUGAGGAAGAUACAUCUAGAGACGGAGAAAGAGAGCUAUGAAUACUUUAAAGAAGCUCCCUGUUAUAAGACUGCAUAUUCUGAUACAAGAAAACGGCUGAAGUUUAUGGUACAGGAAUGCUGUUCUCAGUCUCUCUAUUAUGAAGAGCUGCAUUCGUAUCAUAUUGUGCCUUAUGCUUCGGAGAAUGCCAUUUAUGAAAUGGGCUACACUAGCAGCCACUUGGAGCAAAAUUCUCAGUUGCUUAUUUAUAAAAUGAAUUAA